GGUUUAAUUCGAAGCAACGCGAAGAACCUUACCAAGUCUUGACAUCCCGAUGACAGAGUAUGUAAUGUACUUUCUCUUCGGAGCAUCGGUGACAGGUGGUGCAUGGUUGUCGUCAGCUCGUGUCGUGAGAUGUUGGGUUAAGUCCCGCAACGAGCGCAACCCCUGUUCUUAGUAGCCAGCGGUUCGGCCGGCACUCUAGGGAGACUGCCAGGGAUAACCUGGA
RNAcentral lists this ribosomal RNA (223 nucleotides) under uncultured bacterium. Its description in RNAcentral is "partial 16S ribosomal RNA". It matches the Rfam family "Bacterial small subunit ribosomal RNA", at positions 943 to 1167 of the family's 1533-position model. The record is from RNAcentral.